RNAcentral lists this small nucleolar RNA (114 nucleotides) under Eutrema salsugineum. RNAcentral's name for it is "Plant small nucleolar RNA R71". It matches the Rfam family "Plant small nucleolar RNA R71". From Rfam's summary of the family: R71 is a member of the C/D box family of snoRNAs containing the C (UGAUGA) and D (CUGA) box motifs. The record is from Rfam by way of RNAcentral. Lineage: Eukaryota; Viridiplantae; Streptophyta; Magnoliopsida; Brassicales; Brassicaceae.
AAUCCAUGGUGAGGGCAAUCACGUUCAUACUCCUUAAAACGUUCCCAGGCUUCAUAGAAAGAUUCAGUCGGCUUGAGAUAUUUGUUCUCAACUGGUUCGACCUUGACUUAGUAU